GCCCGCUCAGAAACUUAAAGGAAUUGACGGGGACCCGCACAAGCGGUGGAUGAUGUGGAUUAAUUCGAUGCAACGCGAACAACCUUACCUACCCUUGACAUGUCCGGAACCCUGCUGAGAGGUGGGGUGCUCGAAAGAGAGCCGUAACACAGGUGCUGCAUGGCUGUCGUCAGCUCGUGUCGUGAGAUGUUGGGUUAAGUCCCGCAACGAGCGCAACCUUGUCAUUAGUUGCUACGCAAGAGCACUCUAAUGAGACUGCCGGUGACAAACCGGAGGAAGGUGGGGAUGACGUCAAGUCCUCAUGGCCCUUAUGGGUAGGGCUUCACACGUCAUACAAUGGUCGGUACAGAGGGUUGCCAAGCCGCGAGGUGGAGCCAAUCCCAGAAAGCCGAUCGUAGUCCGGAUCGCAGUCUGCAACUCGACUGCGUGAAGUCGGAAUCGCUAGUAAUCGCGGAUCCUAGCAUCGCCGCGGUGAAUAACGUUACCGGGUCUU
This 493-nucleotide ribosomal RNA is filed under the name uncultured Methyloversatilis sp. RNAcentral's name for it is "bacterial SSU rRNA". It matches the Rfam family "Bacterial small subunit ribosomal RNA", at positions 887 to 1382 of the family's 1533-position model. The record is from RNAcentral. Lineage: Bacteria; Pseudomonadati; Pseudomonadota; Betaproteobacteria; Nitrosomonadales; Sterolibacteriaceae.